GAUGAACGCUGGCGGCGUGCCUAAUACAUGCAAGUCGAGCGAACAGAUGAGGAGCUUGCUCCUCUGACGUUAGCGGCGGACGGGUGAGUAACACGUGGAUAACCUACCUAUAAGACUGGGAUAACUUCGGGAAACCGGAGCUAAUACCGGAUAAUAUAUUGAACCGCAUGGUUCAAUAGUGAAAGACGGUUUUGCUGUCACUUAUAGAUGGAUCCGCGCCGCAUUAGCUAGUUGGUAAGGUAACGGCUUACCAAGGCGACGAUGCGUAGCCUACCUGAGAGGGUGAUCGGCCACACUGGAACUGAGACACGGUCCAGACUCCUACGGGAGGCAGCAGUAGGGAAUCUUCCGCAAUGGGCGAAAGCCUGACGGAGCAACGCCGCGUGAGUGAUGAAGGUCUUCGGAUCGUAAAACUCUGUUAUUAGGGAAGAACAAAUGUGUAAGUAACUAUGCACGUCUUGACGGUACCUAAUCAGAAAGCCACGGCUAACUACGUG
This 497-nucleotide ribosomal RNA is filed under the name uncultured bacterium. RNAcentral describes it as "partial 16S ribosomal RNA". It matches the Rfam family "Bacterial small subunit ribosomal RNA", at positions 28 to 507 of the family's 1533-position model. The record is from RNAcentral.